RNAcentral lists this ribosomal RNA (437 nucleotides) under uncultured bacterium. RNAcentral describes it as "partial 16S ribosomal RNA". It matches the Rfam family "Bacterial small subunit ribosomal RNA", at positions 29 to 507 of the family's 1533-position model. The record is from RNAcentral.
AGCGAACGCUGGCGGCAGGCUUAACACAUGCAAGUCGAGCGGUCAUCCUUGUGGUGUCUGCUGCAGACGAGUGGGUAACGCGUGGGAACCAGCUCUUUAAUUUGCCCUAACCCAGGGAAACUUGAGCUAAUACCGGGUCCGUUCCCGGGCACAAAGGUUGAUCUGCCGUAGGCUCGGCGCGCGUCUGAUUGGCCUGGUGGUGAGUCUACGGCUCUCCAAUGCUACGUUGAGUAGCUGGUCUGAGAGGAGGAUCAGCCACACUGGGCAUGAGGCACGGACCAGACUCCUACGGGAGGGAGCAGUGGGGAAUAUUAGGCGAGGGGGGCAAAUGUGGCGAAGCCAUGCCGGGGGAGUGAUGACGGCGUUAGGGAUGUAAAGCUCGUAUCUAAGGGACGAUAGUGACGGUACCGGAAGAAGAAGCCCCGGCUAACUUCGUG